CCUACGGGGGGCUGCAGUGGGGAAUAUUGCACAAUGGGGGAAACCCUGAUGCAGCAACGCCGCGUGAGUGAUGACGGUCUUCGGAUUGUAAAGCUCUGUCUUUAGGGACGAUAAUGACGGUACCUAAGGAGGAAGCCACGGCUAACUACGUGCCAGCAGCCGCGGUAAUACGUAGGUGGCAAGCGUUGUCCGGAUUUACUGGGCGUAAAGGGAGCGUAGGCGGACUUUUAAGUGGGAUGUGAAAUACUCGGGCUCAACCUGGGUGCUGCAUUCCAAACUGGAAGUCUAGAGUACAGGAGGGGAAAGCGGAAUUCCUAGUGUAGCGGUGAAAUGCGUAGAGAUUAGGAAGAACACCAGUGGCGAAGGCGGCUUUCUGGACUGUAACUGACGCUGAGGCUCGAAAGCGUGGGGAGCAAACAGGCUUAGAUACCCGAGUAGUC
Molecule: ribosomal RNA, 440 nt
Filed under: uncultured Clostridium sp.
Lineage: Bacteria; Bacillati; Bacillota; Clostridia; Eubacteriales; Clostridiaceae
Description: bacterial SSU rRNA
Rfam family: Bacterial small subunit ribosomal RNA
Source: RNAcentral